This 598-nucleotide long non-coding RNA is filed under the name Mytilus galloprovincialis (Mediterranean mussel). The record is from RNAcentral. Lineage: Eukaryota; Metazoa; Mollusca; Bivalvia; Mytilida; Mytilidae.
GUUCUGUUAACAGUUAAUAUUAGACAAAUUACACAUUUUUUAACCCUGACGACCAUGUUGAUUGAUAAGCAGGAUGAACACACAAAGCUUUAUAUUAGAUACCAUAAGGAUCAUUACAGCCAAGUUUGUAAGGAAUUGGUCCAGUGAUAACAGACAGAUCUAUUUUUAAAAAGCAUAAAGACGUCGACGAUGGACGCAAACUAAUGGUAAGGCCCUCAACGUUAAUUCAAAACUACUUCUCACGGUAUAUCUACGGAAACGUUGAAAUAACUUAUAAUCAGAACAGUAAUUGUAGUUGAUUUAAAGGAAAGACGAAGAAAUUCUUUUGGUAACCUGCUAAGUUAGUUGCAUGGAACGGAUUAAAAACCAAAUGUUACAAACAUUUCUAUGUUUUCAAUUGAAUGGUGGAAGACAAAUGAAGAAUAAUCCGAACAGUCACUGCAUAAAGAAUUUUUCAACGAUAGGGUGAACAAGCCUUAUGAUCAGUAAAAUUGGGAAAGGAAAUGGGGAAUGUGUCAAAGCGACAAAAAACCGACCAUAGAGCAGACAACAAGCGAAGGCCACCAAUGGGUCUUCAUGUAGCGAGAAACUCCCGCAC